This 292-nucleotide long non-coding RNA is filed under the name Cucumis sativus (cucumber). RNAcentral describes it as "long non-coding RNA (CSAT_LNC000577)". Lineage: Eukaryota; Viridiplantae; Streptophyta; Magnoliopsida; Cucurbitales; Cucurbitaceae. The record is from RNAcentral.
CUUCGAUGUUUCCAAACCCCUCCAGGAAUACAGUAGCUGGGCGGUAAUCAUUUCUCAGCACCUGAUUUAAGAAUGUCUGUUGCUGGGUCAUGAGCUUGUUCCAUUCUGUUGUGUAUGCAGAAUCACAGGUGUAGUCGGUGAGCUUCUCCAUUUCUACAACCUCUGUUAUCCAACUCAUCGAUCGAUCUUUCAUCCCUUCGACGACGCUUUUCCCUGCUCGUCUGAUGGGCUGCUGGAGCUGUGGAUAGUGUUCAGAAUGCUGCAUCAACACGGCAAGGACAAUGACCUGAAU